AAUUCGCCCUUCCUACGGGGGGCAGCAGUGGGGAAUUUUGGACAAUGGGCGCAAGCCUGAUCCAGCAAUGCCGCGUGCAGGACAAAGGCCUUCGGGUUGUAAACUGCUUUUGUACGGAGCGAAACGGUCUGGGUCAAUACCCUGGGCUAAUGACGGUACCGUAAGAAUAAGCACCGGCUAACUACGUGCCAGCAGCCGCGGUAAUA
Molecule: ribosomal RNA, 206 nt
Filed under: uncultured bacterium
Lineage: Bacteria
Description: partial 16S ribosomal RNA
Rfam family: Bacterial small subunit ribosomal RNA
Source: RNAcentral